GCCAUGCUGAAAAACCAGGGGCUGAAGCUGAUGUAUCCAUGUGGUGUCAACUGAGGAGAACCAUGAGGUCCUCCAUUCCUUUCUGAGAGCCUUCCAGGCAGGAGGGUGCCCGCUUCACUGAGCCCCCAGGGACAUGGAUGGGCCAGACUGUGUAUCCCUAACCUCGGAAUCCUCAGUAUCAGCCAGCGGAGGCCAAAUCCGCAGGAGGCCCCCAGCCUCUUCUCUGUCCCACAAGCACCGCACGCCCGUUCCUGCCUUACACAAUGGAAUACUAUGCAGCCAUCAAAAGAAAUGAAAUCUUGCCAUUUGCAACAACAUGGAUGGAACUAGAGCGUAUCAUGCUUAGUGAAAUAAGUCAAGCAGAGAAAGACAACUGUCAUAUGAUCUCCCUGAUAUGAGGAAGUGGUGAUGCAUCAUCUCAACAUUUUAUGCUCCCCAUUCCGCUCUCCUUCCCAGGCCUAUCUGAAGUCUGCCCUUCAAGGCCCCUCUCAAAUGCAUGAAGUGCCC
Molecule: long non-coding RNA, 507 nt
Filed under: Mustela putorius furo (domestic ferret)
Lineage: Eukaryota; Metazoa; Chordata; Mammalia; Carnivora; Mustelidae
Description: lncRNA (ENSMPUG00000025088.1)
Source: RNAcentral